AGUAUGGUUGAUCGUAUUACAAUCUUUACCAUAAAUGCACAGAUAACUUUUGCCACUGUCGUAGCUUCUUCAAAAUGUUUUACCUGCUAUUUUUACAAGAAGCGUCCCAUGUAAGUUUUACCAGCAUGUCCACAAGUUAACUGUAAGAAUCAAAUUCUUCUGCAGCACUCUAGGGCCACAGGAAUUGAACCAAAAUAAAUUUGAAUUACAGCUAAUAUUUCCCACCUACUAAGGACUUGUGAGAUCACUGUACGCUACACUUGAUCGAGAAUUAGAAAGAACUAUCACAAUCUUAAACAAGGAAUGCUUGGGAAAUGGGAACCAUAUCCCUACAACUUUACGCAAGGAAUCACAGUAAGUAGGAUUUGCAUUUCUAUUUGUACGCAAGGAAUAGAAGUAAAUUUGUAGAGGACUUCAAGAAUCUUGAAAGCGAGCAAAGAUUAUCUAUUGAGUCAAAUGGAAAGGUGCAAGUUUAAGCUGGUGUUUGAGAAGCCUUAUUGGCAUUUGUGUAAUGUAAAAUAGAUCUGUCAAUCUACACUUAGUAUUUGUAAGGCCUCUAGAUUUACUUGUCAACCCUUGAAAAAGAUUCAUGGGAAUGAAGGAGGAAUUGUUUAUUCACCAGGAAAGUUCAUCCCAAUGGAGUUGGUACUAUCUUGCAUAUGUUGUUUCAUUAGCAAUGAGCGAGAUGCUUUUGAUAUGGGAGCCAAAGACAACAUCAAAUCUAUAAUGGAAGGGGAAGGGAGAUGUGUACUUAUGGACAAUACUGGGAUACUUGAAAACAGGGGAAGGGAGAUGUGUACUUCUGGACAAUACUGGGAUACUUGGAAACAGGUUUUUAGCAUUUAGUCAAAUUGCUUGUAUUGUGGCUGUUUGGCAUACAAAUCACUGUGUACCAUGGUUCCCAUUUAUUUUUUAUGAGUCUAUGUGAACAUAUGUCUCUGUUGUGCAAGAACAUUGAAGAAUUGGAAGUACUUUUUUGGUUUUCUAUAACAAAUGUGACCUUGAUAGCAUU
Molecule: long non-coding RNA, 1012 nt
Organism: Cryptomeria japonica (Japanese cedar)
Lineage: Eukaryota; Viridiplantae; Streptophyta; Pinopsida; Cupressales; Cupressaceae
Exons: 2
Source: RefSeq, a predicted model, not a curated record